This is a long non-coding RNA of Melospiza georgiana, 606 nucleotides long. RefSeq lists it as uncharacterized. NCBI's taxonomy places the organism in Eukaryota, Metazoa, Chordata, Aves, Passeriformes, Passerellidae. The transcript is spliced from 3 exons. The record is from RefSeq and is a predicted model, not a curated record.
AGGCUCAGGAGACAUGGACAGUAUUUCCAAAAACUCUCCCAGUAAUAUGAGCAUGAGCAACCAGCCUGGCACUCCCAGGGAUGACAGUGAGAUGGGUGGAAACUUCCUCAACCCUUUUCAGAGCGAGAGUUACUCCCCUAGCAUGACAAUGAGCGUGUGACCCGUUCACAAGUGUCGCCGUGAAGACCACAGUGAGUUGGCCCUCCCCAGAGAGCUACUGCAGAAGAAAAUUAUUCGUCCCAGUGUACAGUUUAACUAAAGGAUCUCAGACACAAUCAGACCCACCUGUUUGUUUUUUUUCUCCUACCAUCUCCUCUGUUUUGUCAAGAAAGUGGGUCCCAAACACGCUUGAGACAACUGUCAGGAGUGGCAUGAGAGAAGUGCCCGAGGUGGAGCUGCCAGCGCCUGUCUGUGUGUGUACAUGUGUGGGUCAGCGUGGGGUGUGUGUGUGUGACAUCCAAACACACACACACACACAGACCCCAGGACGCUGUCCAAUAGGAUCACAUGGCAUCUUACUAGAAAUCAGAAGUAGGGACUUUUAUUCCAUUUCUUUUUUUUUUCACGUUUGCAUUUUAAUUAUUAAAAUUUGCUUUCCCUCUCCCA